Molecule: ribosomal RNA, 367 nt
Filed under: uncultured bacterium
Lineage: Bacteria
Description: bacterial SSU rRNA
Rfam family: Bacterial small subunit ribosomal RNA
Source: RNAcentral
GGGGGGUGCAAGCGUUAUCCGGAAUCAUUGGGUUUAAAGGGUCCGCAGCGGUCUUAUAAGUCAGUGGUGAAAGCCUACAGCUCAACUGUAGAACUGCCAUUGAUACUGUAAGACUUGAAUUCGAUCGAAGUGGGCGGAAUAUGACAUGUAGCGGUGAAAUGCUUAGAUAUGUCAUAGAACACCGAUAGCGAAGGCAGCUCACUAGGUCUGGAUUGACGCUCAGGGACGAAAGCGUGGGGAGCAAACAGGAUUAGAUACCCUGGUAGUCCACGCCGUAAACUAUCAAUACUCGUUCUCAGCCCUUUGGGGGUUGGGGACCAAGCGAAAGUGAUAAGUAUUGCACCUGGGGAGUACGAUCGCAAGGUUG